GGACUUAAAACCUGAACUGGCUAUUGCCAUCAGGUAGCAGUGAAAACUGCGGGAGAAUGAAAAUCCGUUGACCGUAAAAG
RNAcentral lists this transfer RNA (80 nucleotides) under Nostoc commune 2323. Its description in RNAcentral is "partial tRNA-Leu". The record is from RNAcentral. Lineage: Bacteria; Bacillati; Cyanobacteriota; Cyanophyceae; Nostocales; Nostocaceae. RNAcentral also lists the same sequence under 2 other names.